UGAAUGACUCUCGGCAACGGAUAUCUCGGCUCUUGCAUCGAUGAAGAACGUAGCGAAAUGCGAUACUUGGUGUGAAUUGCAGAAUCCCGUGAACCAUCGAGUCUUUGAACGCAAGUUGCACCCGAGGCCACUAGGUUGAGGGCACGUCUGCCUGGGCGUCACAC
This 164-nucleotide ribosomal RNA is filed under the name Caltha leptosepala. RNAcentral's name for it is "5.8S ribosomal RNA". It matches the Rfam family "5.8S ribosomal RNA". Rfam says of the family: 5.8S ribosomal RNA (5.8S rRNA) is a component of the large subunit of the eukaryotic ribosome. It is transcribed by RNA polymerase I as part of the 45S precursor that also contains 18S and 28S rRNA. Functionally, it is thought that 5.8S rRNA may be involved in ribosome translocation. The record is from RNAcentral. Lineage: Eukaryota; Viridiplantae; Streptophyta; Magnoliopsida; Ranunculales; Ranunculaceae.